UCGGCCGCUUCCCACCUUGACCAGACGAAGACGGUGUUAGAUCAAAUUCUUCUCGGUCUGCGGUGAAUCCGGGAUGUUCCUUUGCCGGAGGUAGAAGAAGCUAUGGCGAGUCAGAGGUAGAAGAUGGUAAUCUGCACAGAAAAAUCUGGUAAUAUUAUUAUUUUUUUUUCUUAUUUUCCAUCGAUAUCUGUUGCCUUUGACAGCCCCUUGAUCAGUUCUCCAAAGACAUGUUCAUGGUGCGUGGAUCUGAUGCUGCUUCUUAUUUGACUGGCAGAUCGUCAUUCUGCGGCGUCAAAUCCUCAGAUCGCGCCGCCGCGGCCGAUUCGAGAAUGCCGAGCAGGCGACGCCCGCAGUUGUUCUUCGCGAUUGGUCGGAGAGGAUUUCGGAGGACGAAGCCGGCGAAUCAAGGAGGAGAACAGGAACUGAAUCGAAGAAGCGGGAUCCUGAUUCUCACAGGCUUCUCUUACCUU
RNAcentral lists this long non-coding RNA (470 nucleotides) under Spirodela polyrhiza (greater duckweed). Its description in RNAcentral is "long non-coding RNA (SPOL_LNC002394)". The record is from RNAcentral. Lineage: Eukaryota; Viridiplantae; Streptophyta; Magnoliopsida; Alismatales; Araceae.